UACGUAGGGUGCGAGCGUUAAUCGGAAUUACUGGGCGUAAAGCGUGCGCAGGCGGUUCGUUGUGUCGGUGGUGAAAGCCCCGGGCUUAACCUGGGAACUGCAUUGGUGACUGGCAGGCUUUGAGUGUGGCAGAGGGAGGUAGAAUUCCACGUGUAGCAGUGAAAUGCGUAGAGAUGUGGAGGAAUACCGAUGGCGAAGGCAGCCUCCUGGGCCAACACUGACGCUCAUGCACGAAAGCGUGGGGAGCAAACAGG
This 254-nucleotide ribosomal RNA is filed under the name uncultured bacterium. RNAcentral's name for it is "partial 16S ribosomal RNA". It matches the Rfam family "Bacterial small subunit ribosomal RNA", at positions 524 to 776 of the family's 1533-position model. The record is from RNAcentral.